This 1194-nucleotide ribosomal RNA is filed under the name Triticum aestivum (bread wheat). RNAcentral describes it as "partial small subunit ribosomal RNA". Lineage: Eukaryota; Viridiplantae; Streptophyta; Magnoliopsida; Poales; Poaceae. The record is from RNAcentral.
AUGACCUUUGGUCUUAGAAUGACUUGUAUGAUGGAGGCUGCAAUGUAUCGCCAUUGGUCAGAUCUUCAGCCGGAACUCCUGGGCCUUGUUCUCAAGUACCUCCCCUCCCUGUCUGACCGUGUUCGUCUAAGAGCAGUCUGUCGCACCUGGCGCUCUAAUAGUAUGUUGCAGCCCCUUCCUCUGCCAUUCCCGUGGCUCACCCUCCCAGACGGUACUUUCCUCAGCAUUCCAGGUAGUGAAAUUCACCGCAUACCUGUACCAGAAGGUGCUUGUUGCCAAGGCUCCAUUGACAACUGGCUAUUCCUCAUUAACAAUGCUAAUAUGUGCUCAUUGAUGAAUCCUUUCUCCAAGACCGCACUGGAGCUUCCUAAUCUAGUGGCUGUUUGGGAGCGUGAGAUACGUUACCACUCUGACCGUAAACCAAUUUUCUAUAAGUUGGUGGUGCCCUCUCCCCUGGACUCGUCACCUCAUUCCCCUGUCGUUGCACUAAUCAUGGACGAUGGUUGUUUCCAUACACUUUGUAUUAGCCAGCCACCAAUUGCUACUGCCUCGCUCAGAGAUAAUAAGGAUCCACGAUUGUUCCUUAGUGAUGUCGUAUUCUUCAACGGGAAGUUAUACGCAUGGGGUCGCUUCGGGCAGCUAUUCAUCAUUGAUUUGGGCAAUGACCGUACCAUUUCAUCCAUCAGCUGCAUAAUUGACUCUUUGGGUGAUAUAGGUGGAACACCGCAACAUUUGUCCAUAGCAGAGGAGUACAUGGUAAAACCAUAUCUUGUUGAAUGUGGUGGUAAACUGUUGCUGGUGGCAAGAUGGUUUCGCUGCACGCCAAGUUCGACAAGCUACGAUGUCUUUGAACAUAAAUGUACUGCCGCAUUUCAGGUCUUUGAGGCAGACCUGCACACCAGCCCCGGUCGAUGGAGAAAGGCCACUGAGUUGGGUGGCCAUGCGCUCUUUCUUGGCCAACAUGGCUCCAAGUGCCUGCCUGCUGUGGGAUGCAGUGGAUACGACGAGGAUUGCAUCUACUUCAUGUGUGACUAUGUCUGGCCGACCUCUUCUGCAAAUCCUCUUUGCGACUCUGGUGUGUACAGCAUGAGGGACGGCACAAUCACGCCGUUGAUGUCAGAGGCAGCAGCAGCACCGCUGCAGCGUGUUGGACAGUGGCGGCCCACAUGGUUCUUCCCUCCUGAAGCUGUGUGA